Molecule: transfer RNA, 72 nt
Filed under: Camelus bactrianus (Bactrian camel)
Lineage: Eukaryota; Metazoa; Chordata; Mammalia; Artiodactyla; Camelidae
Also listed under: 1 other name
Rfam family: tRNA
About the family: Transfer RNA (tRNA) molecules are approximately 80 nucleotides in length.
Source: Rfam by way of RNAcentral
GAAGGUAUAGCUCAGCAGUAGGCCACGUGCUUAGCAUGCACAAGGUCCUGGGUUCAAUCCCCAGUGCCUCUG